RNAcentral lists this ribosomal RNA (462 nucleotides) under uncultured bacterium. RNAcentral's name for it is "partial 16S ribosomal RNA". It matches the Rfam family "Bacterial small subunit ribosomal RNA", at positions 29 to 523 of the family's 1533-position model. The record is from RNAcentral.
AGCGAACGCUGGCGGCAGGCCUAAUACAUGAAAGUCGAACGGCUCUUCGGAGCAGUGGCGGACGGGUGAGUAACACGUGGGAACGUGCCCUUUGGUACGGAACAACUGAGGGAAACUUCAGCUAAUACCGUAUGUGCCGCCAUUCUUAGCGGGAUGGGUGGGAAAGAUUUAUCGCCAUUGGAGCGGCCCGCGUUGGAUUGGCUAGUUGGUGGGGUAAAGGCCCACCAAGGCUACGAUCCAUAGCUGGUCUGAGAGGAUGAUCAGCCACACUGGGACUGAGACACGGCCCAGACUCCUACGGGAGGCAGCAGUAGGGAAUCUUGCGCAAUGGGCGAAAGCCUGACGCAGCCAUGCCGCGUGAAUGAUGAAGGUCUUAGGAUUGUAAAAUUCUUUCACCGGGGAAGAUAAUGACGGUACCCGGAGAAGAAGCCCCGGCUAACUUCGUGCCAGCCGCCGCCGUAA